RNAcentral lists this ribosomal RNA (767 nucleotides) under Simplicillium lamellicola. Its description in RNAcentral is "partial large subunit ribosomal RNA". It matches the Rfam family "Eukaryotic large subunit ribosomal RNA", at positions 111 to 908 of the family's 3401-position model. The record is from RNAcentral. Lineage: Eukaryota; Fungi; Ascomycota; Sordariomycetes; Hypocreales; Cordycipitaceae.
AAAUUUGAAAUCUGGCUCCUAGAGUCCGAAUUGUAAUUUGCAGAGGAUGCUUUUGAUGCGGUGCCUUCCGAGUUCCCUGGAACGGGACGCCAUAGAGGGUGAGAGCCCCGUCUGGUCGGAUGCCAAAUCUCUGUAAAGCUCCUUCGACGAGUCGAGUAGUUUGGGAAUGCUGCUCUAAAUGGGAGGUAUAUGUCUUCUAAAGCUAAAUAUUGGCCAGAGACCGAUAGCGCACAAGUAGAGUGAUCGAAAGAUGAAAAGCACUUUGAAAAGAGGGUUAAAAAGUACGUGAAAUUGUUGAAAGGGAAGCGCCUAUGACCAGACUUGGGCCCGGUGAAUCAUCCAGCGUUCUCGCUGGUGCACUUUGCCGGGCACAGGCCAGCAUCAGUUUGCCUUGGGGGAAAAAGGCUUUGGGAAUGUAGCUCCUUCGGGAGUGUUAUAGACCAUUGCAUAAUACCCUGGGGCGGACUGAGGUUCGCGCAUCUGCAAGGAUGCUGGCGUAAUGGUCAUCAGCGACCCGUCUUGAAACACGGACCAAGGAGUCGUCUUCGUAUGCGAGUGUUCGGGUGUAAAACCCCUACGCGUAAUGAAAGUGAACGCAGGUGAGAGCUUCGGCGCAUCAUCGACCGAUCCUGAUGUUCUCGGAUGGAUUUGAGUAAGAGCAUACGGGGCCGGACCCGAAAGAAGGUGAACUAUUCCUGUAUAGGGUGAAGCCAGAGGAAACUCUGGUGGAGGCUCGCAGCGGUUCUGACGUGCGAAUCGAUCGUCAA